AAGACGUAACCUAUCUUAUUAAGGUCCCAUUCCCCAUUAUGAAUGAUAUCGCUAAUCGUCAACUUCUCAUCCUUCAAGGACAAGGGGGUAUAGAUUAUGCGCGACAGAGGUUGACAAUUUGGGAUCCAAUUAUCGUGCCAUAAGCUUACCUUGUUUCCGCUGAUAAUGUCCUAGCGGAGACAUUUUUUGCAAAUUUUUCAAGCCUCAACUAUACUUUUCCAGGUACUACUGCU
RNAcentral lists this long non-coding RNA (233 nucleotides) under Capsicum annuum. Its description in RNAcentral is "long non-coding RNA (CANN_LNC018008)". The record is from RNAcentral. Lineage: Eukaryota; Viridiplantae; Streptophyta; Magnoliopsida; Solanales; Solanaceae.